Solanum tuberosum (potato) is the source of this 699-nucleotide long non-coding RNA. RefSeq lists it as uncharacterized. Lineage: Eukaryota; Viridiplantae; Streptophyta; Magnoliopsida; Solanales; Solanaceae. The transcript has 4 exons. The record is from RefSeq and is a predicted model, not a curated record.
UUCAGUCCUCACUUGUCCUCUCCUUCCACUGUUAUCCACUUCUCUACUCUUCUCCAAUGACUAAUCAUAACACUUCACUAUUCUGCCCCCUGCUGCCGCUCGCUGCCGUAUCAUGGAAGAAGAGAGAAAUUACAUGAAAAAGAAAGUAAUUGACAUUAGCCACAAGUAUGCUCUUGAUUUGCCUGCUUAUGGUUCCAAAAAUGGACUGGGAAACUUCAUAAAACUUGAGACUAGCAUCUACCAACUUUGAAUGGUCCAGUUCUUGUAGUUGUAGUGGACACCCCACGGGACAAGAAUAUUACAGCUGAAGUGAUGAGGUCAUUGAACAUACCUCGGGGAGUGAAACGUGUUCUUUUUCAAACACUAAACACAGACAGGAGGCUGAUGUACAAGAAAGAAUUUGAUUCCUCCUAUGCUGCAUUCACCUCAGAUGGAGCAGAGUAUUUGGUCCAGAAUACUGACAUCAAACUCGUUGGUGUUGAUUACUUAUCUGUUGCCAUUAAUCCCAAGGAAGAGCUCGUUAAAGUUCAUCAUCAACUACUUCUGGAUCCUAAAGUAAGUCCGUUUGCCUAAUUUGAUUGAGUUUAAGGUUUGUGUACCUCCACAAGAUAGUGGUAACGUUUGCAUACACUCCACUCUCCCCAAACCCCACUUGUGGGAUUUCCUGGGAUAUGUUGUUGUUGUUAAGUACAUAUAGAU